Artibeus jamaicensis (Jamaican fruit-eating bat) is the source of this 2021-nucleotide long non-coding RNA. RefSeq lists it as uncharacterized. The record is from RefSeq and is a predicted model, not a curated record. NCBI's taxonomy places the organism in Eukaryota, Metazoa, Chordata, Mammalia, Chiroptera, Phyllostomidae. The transcript is spliced from 3 exons.
GUGAGGGAGUUUGUUUCUCUACGGAAACUUAGGGUGCUAUUACUAGAAAAUGGAUUGGGGGCCUAAAAUGAACAGGUAUCUUCUACAUAGGAGUAAGAAGUUCGCCUUGUACUGGGCUCCUCCCACCCAGUUCCAGUUUGACUCCAGGUCUGCUGGCCAAUUUCUUCCUGGUUGCACAGUGGAGUUGGAGAAAUAACCCCUUCCCAUUUGAAAACGCCAAACUACGCUGUCCUGGGGGGUGAGACACUGAUACCCCGGGCAUUCGUCACCUGGCCAGUUGGAGGCUUUACAGACGGGCCCCUUUAAUCCUGUCUGCCGCUCCCUACCGAGGAGGGCAGGGGAAGUGCUGUUCCCAUUUCACGCUUGAGAAACCUGACGAUUUGUGAAGGGGAACCCUGACUGAGUCAGCUACGGUCACAGCUGCCAAGUGAUGGAGCCCAGGUUUCAGCCCAGUUCUUGGUGAUCCUGGCUGUCCCAUCCCUGCAGUGACGGUGAAUUCCUGCCCACAGGGGGAUGCUGAGACCCAGAGAAGAGAGAUAAUGAAUGUGCCCAAGGUCAUCCGCCAGAGUGAGAACGAGCUCUCCCACCUUCCAGACCUGUGGGCUGACCCCUGGACCCCCGUGUCCCUUACAUGUCCAGUAUGCAGCAGCUGACACAGUGCUUCUGCACCCCGCAUCUCAGGAUCUUCACCUUGCCCCAGGGGCAGGCAGAGUGGGGCCAAUCACCUCCGUGUUCCUGAUGAGGAAGCAGAGGCACCAAGGGGCUGAGCAUCCAGCCCAGGGCCCAGAGCCAGAGUGUGAAGCCCUGACACCUGGCCCCCAGGGCAGUGCCGUGUUGCUCUGCUCAUUGAUGCUGCUGCAUCUUGUGGUCGGGGUUUCAGCCUGAGUCAGGCUUUCCAGAAGCCCGAAGCCUGUAGCAGAGAGUCCGCGCUAGGAGACAAGGCUCACAUUAAGUAUGCUUGAUGGAGCACAGAUGUGUGAGACAGAAAAUGAGGGGAAGUAACAGCGGCAGCUGGCACAGGUCAGGCACUAGGCUGGACGUUUCCUGCAAAUUCUCUCAUUCAGUCUGCGCAGCUACUCCCGUGAGAGAGGUACUCUGAUUCUGCCGAUGAGGAAAUGACGGCACAGAAAGUUGCAGACCCCCAACCAAGGUUAUACCUAGGAGGUGAUGGAGCUGGAACCUGCACCCCACUGGUCUGGAUCCAGAGAGCCCAUGCCGCGGAAAUGCGGGCCAUUGGUUGGCACCGUCAGAGAGGACGCCCAGGGCCCCUGGAGUACUUUCCAAUUCGGGGUCAGCAGGAGGAAAUGCUUGGAGACAGAGAUCUGCAGGUCCUUGAAGGAUGGCUUAGCUACAGCCAUGCUCUGAGGCCAGGCUCUUCUGUGUCAGGAGGACACUGACGUCCGGAGCAGUUUAGGCCCAAAGGCACACAGCAUCCCGGUGGAAGACCCGGACCCGGACCAAAGUACCUCGCCUCUCAGCUGCUGUCCGGCUGCCCCAAGCCUUUCCCACACAGUCCCCCGGUGUCUGCGAUUCUGUUUAUGGGACUUUCCCAAGGGGGACCCACGAGUGUCAGAGUCCUGCCUGCCUCACCUCGCUGCUGCUUCAGGACAAACCCUCCCAAACCUUAGCGGCCAAAAACACCAUUUUAUCAUCUCCCCUGUGCCUGUAGACCGACUGGGCUCAGCUGGUGGCUCUUCUGCUCCACAUGACACGUGGGCUGGGCUGCCCUCUGCCAGGGGCUCAACUUCAGCCCCACAGGUUGAUGUUGACAGUGGGAGGGGCUGAAGAUGUGGGACAGAGAGCCUACCUGUCUCUGCCCCGCCCCCCAUACUCCAUGUGGAAUGGGCUUCUCACAGCAUAGCAGUUGGGUUCUAUGAUAUUGUGAUGUAAAAGAAAUGUAUAUUUUGAUCUUUGCCCCUGGUUCUUGGCCAGAGCUUCUAAAACCCUUGUAAUAAAAAUGAUAGGAACAUCUUUUGUUUGAUUUCUGUUCCCACCUCUUGAAACAGCUGCUGACAUAUCUU